Non-coding RNA from Pelobates cultripes (western spadefoot toad), 241 nucleotides. NCBI's taxonomy places the organism in Eukaryota, Metazoa, Chordata, Amphibia, Anura, Pelobatidae. The record is from the annotation of a GenBank genome assembly.
CCCCAAGGCCUCAAUCAGCCUCUCUCUAUAACGUAAACUCGCCUCAGUCUUUAGACUAACCAUUCAGAUCCCUCACUUCAGGAUGUCACAUCGCGCUCCUAUCAGCCAACCCUUACCACAAAUCAUACGCCACCACGUUACGCAUAAAUACAUCAACAUCUGUCUUAAUCCUUAGGCUUCUUCUACGAGGACAGCAGCAGCCAAGACUCGCUACAUAUAAACAUUCGAAGGUUCCAGCUCU